This 751-nucleotide long non-coding RNA is filed under the name Homo sapiens (human). RNAcentral's name for it is "non-protein coding LINC02020:18". The record is from RNAcentral. Lineage: Eukaryota; Metazoa; Chordata; Mammalia; Primates; Hominidae.
UAUUAGAAUCCGAUGGGACCACCAUUGUAUAUGUGGUCUGCCAUUGGCUGAAGCAUCAUUAUUUGGUGCAUGACUGUAGAACUUUAAGCAAUGAUGAAAAUGCUCUAUAUCCACACUAUCCAAUAUGGUAACCACUAGCCACUUGUGACUACUGAGUGUCUGAAAGGUUCUGCUUGAAUUCUUGCCCUGGCUCUUGGUGAAGGAUCGGCCUGCUGGAUCUGAGUCAUCCACCUAUAAGAGGGACAACACCACACAUUGGUCGCUGCUCUCAAGCCCCUGGAAUACCACCCCACUUGGCUUCUCCUGAUACCACCCACAUAAACAAAAACUUUUUGGGAGUCCUCCAGAAUUUUUAAGAGUUAUCUAAACUAUUGCCUUUAAUGACCAGGAACUCCAAUUUGAGAAGUUACCCUACGUUAAGCCAACAGCAGCCUGGCUCCUUCAUCCUGUGCAGUAUGGGACAGAGCUGGGUCCUUGUUGUCAUCAGCCAGACAAGCACACAUUAAAGCCCACCUUAGCCAUUGGCAUUACAGCUUUAAAAGCAGCUCCAUCCUACCAUGCUGUCACUCUACUCAAUCACGUGAUCUUAACGACCAGCUCUACAUAUCCUCUCUCCAUGCCCCCACCACCAUCCCCCACCAACAAAUCCGGUAAUCUAUCUCUGUCAAUAGUCCUGCAGUGAAUUCCGAAUAAGUUUUUCUCUUCCCUGGCCUGCCGUUUACGUAGUACCCUGGAUGAAUCUAUACUUACU